GAUGAACGCUGGCGGUAUGCUUAACACAUGCAAGUCGAACGGACUCUUCGGAGUUAGUGGCGGACGGAUGAGAAAAGAGUGACAAUCUGGAAUUGGGUUAGGGAAACCCACUGGAAACGGUGGCUAAUACCGGAUGUGCCGAGAGGUAAAAGAGAAAUUGCCUGAAGAUGAGCUCGCGUCUGAUUAGCUAGUUGGUGAGGUAAAGGCUCACCAAGGCAGCGAUCAGUAGCUGGUCUGAGAGGAUGACCAGCCACACUGGGACUGAGACACGGCCCAGACUCCUACGGGAGGCGGCAGUGGGGAAUUUUCCGCAAUGGGCGAAAGCCUGACGGAGCAAUACCGCGUGAGGGAAGAAGGCUCUUGGGUUGUAAACCUCUUUUCUUAGGGGAGAACAAAAUGACGGUACCUAAGGAAUCAGCAUCGGCUAACUCCGUG
This 435-nucleotide ribosomal RNA is filed under the name uncultured bacterium. Its description in RNAcentral is "partial 16S ribosomal RNA". It matches the Rfam family "Bacterial small subunit ribosomal RNA", at positions 28 to 507 of the family's 1533-position model. The record is from RNAcentral.